GGCAAUUCAAGAAAAUAUUAAGGGGGAAAGAAAAGCGCAAUCUGUUCGUCCACAGUUUGUCAACAAAUCCCCACUAACACCUGUGAUUUCUAGUGGAGUGCAAGAGUGCAACCAGCUAGACCUGGUUGAUUUCUCGGACAUGCCCAUUGAAGUCGAUAAUGAUGGACUGAUUUACAAGUAUGUUGUGUGUCUUGGACAUCUUUAGCAGGUUUCUUUUUCUCCGCCCACUUCCGGGAAAAGCUGCGUACCUUGUGGCUCAAGAGUUGUUGGACUUGUACUACGUAAUUGGUCCUCCGGCUGUUAUACAGACGGAUCAAGGAGGCGAGUUUCGUGGGAUGGUAGAGCUGUUGGCCUCAUCCAUGAGAAUUAGAAUUAUACGAAGCCAGCCGUAUCAUCCAGAAUCUCAAGGAAAAGUAGAAAACGUCAAUCAAACUCCAAAGGAUCGUAUUCGUUUUGAUGUUUUAGAAAACGGUACGGAAGGAGUAAAUUGGGUCGAACAGCUGCCGGUAUACCAGCAACUCUACAAUACAUCGCCUCACCAAGCUCUCGAGAGAGUAAUUCAGUACUACGUGGUCACUUGCCAACGGAAACAAGGGAACAGCAAAGCCAAAAUGAGAGCAACCAUGUUAGUAAAAAGGUCGCUGAAAACAUUGAAGAAGAAGAAACUUCUAGUGAAUUUUAUUUUCAUGACAGCAGGAAAGUACAUCACUGCAUUGCUACAUGGAUAGAAUCUUGUCGACUUAUUCGGGAAGCCGCAUUGAAAUCGUCCAACAAAGCUGCCGCGAAGAUGAUCGCGAGAAAACUGGGAGUGAGAAUUCCUACGGAAUUUUUGUUGGAGAUGAAGUACUCGUCAGACUUCCGGAUAUACGUUCUGGUCGAAGACGCAAACAGAAAUUCUUUCGUCUUCUUACUUCUUUACGCGGUCACGUCAUCGAGGCAGAUCCAAACAGGUAUCGCUACCGUGUAGAGUACGACUCUAGCGAUGGCCCAAUUAACCGCUGGUUUUCCGUAAAUGACAUUACGUCGCCAACUAUGCAAACAGAGAGAGAACGGAACACCUCUCGUGCUAGUUAUAGUAGUACGAAACAACAGAUUGUUCCAGAAAUAGCAGAACGUUGUUAUUCACUGGACGAAGCCACUGUACACACCGAAUCAGCAGCAGCAUUGGCAAACGACGAAGGCAAUUGCAACGAGUCUUCCCAGUGCGCUAAAAGACAACUGCUUGCCAAGUGACUGUUGAUGCUCGUACUCGUGAUUCUAAAGUCGAGAAAGCGGAAAAGGGAAAUAGAAACUGGCGAUGUUAUGUUCCUGCUGAUGCUCUAAACCAUUUGAGUGAGGCUUCCGCCAUUAUGUCUCGUUUGGCAGUUCUGAAUGUGAACAGUGAUGCUCACGCGAAUCUAGUUGCCGCUUGUAGCCUAAUUUCACAAGCAGCAAUGUUGCUUAGCAAUGCUCAAAGUAACAUCACUAUCGAGUCUACCAAUAAGAGUCCUUUUAGAAAAGGCAUGGAAGUUCCAUUGGUGUCAUCUUUCUUGUCAGUCGAAACUUUGUCAACCAACGAAGGAAUAAUCUACAAGCAGACAACCAAAACACACAGAUCUGAUAACCGAUGCUCAUGCAACUCAACUUGUAAACGUGUCAGAAGCCCGAAAUGCUCUUUUGGAAAGCAUAAAUUGUGCUGUAAAAAAGAUCAUAGACUGUGUGCCUUAAAGUCUCACAACAGAACUGCUGCUGAUGAAUGGGAAGAUCAUUUGAACAAGCGCACAGCUAAUCUCUUGGUAGCAAAGACUACAAAAGAAAUUGUUUCUUCUGACCUGAAACUUCAAAAGUAACCAAAUUAAUGGAAAACACAAAAUUUAGCUCUUCUGACACUCCAGUUGCUCUACCUGCGCUAAAGAUAUUGAAUUUGAGCUCAUGAUUCAAUUUGUGCAAUUUAUGUCAGAGAGAGAAGUGCAAGAAGAAAAGGAUGCUGAAUCUUUGAUGACAGAACUUGCGGCAAGUGUAAGCAUGCACCAACUAGAGAACACUAGUAGUGGCAAUUGCUUAUUUGAGUCAUUCGCUCUUCUCAUCUACGGAAGCAGUUCACUGCACAGGCAGGUCAGAGAGGAGGCAGUUGAGUACAUCACAAAUAGCUCUGACACUUUCAUGGCUGCAGUAGUCGCAAUUGAAAACGACGACCAUGCAGCACCUGCUCGUGCACAAUUCAAUCGCUAUUUGAGCAAUAUGUCAAGAGACACACAUUGGGGAGAUGCUGUUUGUAUUGAAGCUCUUGCAAUGCGCCACAAAUUGCGAGUGUCAGUUUAUGUUU
Long non-coding RNA from Corticium candelabrum, 2305 nucleotides. RefSeq lists it as uncharacterized. The transcript has 11 exons. The record is from RefSeq and is a predicted model, not a curated record. Lineage: Eukaryota; Metazoa; Porifera; Homoscleromorpha; Homosclerophorida; Plakinidae.